This 253-nucleotide ribosomal RNA is filed under the name uncultured bacterium. RNAcentral describes it as "partial 16S ribosomal RNA". It matches the Rfam family "Bacterial small subunit ribosomal RNA", at positions 524 to 776 of the family's 1533-position model. The record is from RNAcentral.
UACGUAGGGUCCGAGCGUUGUCCGGAAUUAUUGGGCGUAAAGGGCUCGUAGGCGGUCUGUUGCGUCGGGAGUGAAAACUUACAGCUUAACUGUGAGCGUGCUUCCGAUACGGGCAGACUUGAGGUAUUCAGGGGAGAACGGAAUUCCUGGUGUAGCGGUGAAAUGCGUAGAUAUCUGGAGGAACACCGGUGGCGAAGGCGGCAUCCUGGACCGAUACUGACGCUGAGGAGCGAAAGCCAGGGGAGCAAACGGG